UUGCCUCUUUACAGGAGGAAGCUGUAUAGAGCCUGUGUUCACAGGAGGUGGUUGAGCUGUUGGAAGCAGCAAUAUACAUAUAUAGUGCUGUGUACUGCGUAAAAUACACAUUUAUCACUCCAUUGCUCUUUAUUAAUAGGAGGAAAGACACUAAAAAAUAACUCAACAUCAAGAUUCAGAAUGGAGAUAAAGCUGUUUUAUGGUAUCUGAAAGCAUGUGGAAGAAUUGUUUUGUAGCUGGAACUUAUUUGGCACUGGGGAAACUAUUUGUUGAACUGCUAGUAAAACUUCAGAAGAGGAAAUACUUAACAGAAGGCAUCCAAACAAGUGCUGAGCUUUCUUUCCAUGAAAAUCAUGGUCAGAUAGGGCGUUUGUAAACACUAGGAGCACCGGAAAAAUGGAACGCACAUUCUCACUGUGAAUGACAAAGACAGCAGUGGGAACCACAAUGCAUGCAGGACCCAAGAAAACCAGGAUUGGAAGCAGAGAAGCCUGCUGAGAACAUUCUUCUCGAGCACAGUGAUUGGCACAGUUUGGGCAGAGUUGCCAAAAUGGAAUGCUCUAAGAAAUUUCAAUAAGGAAUUGCUCAUUCUGCAUCUUUGACUGCCAGACAGCCUAUCCUACUUUUCCCCAUUUUGCUGUUAUCUAUAAGGACUGGAAAUUCUAUCUCAUGUCUGAGAGCAAAAAAAAACCA
Long non-coding RNA from Coturnix japonica (Japanese quail), 693 nucleotides. RefSeq lists it as uncharacterized. Lineage: Eukaryota; Metazoa; Chordata; Aves; Galliformes; Phasianidae. The record is from RefSeq and is a predicted model, not a curated record.